RNAcentral lists this ribosomal RNA (537 nucleotides) under uncultured bacterium. Its description in RNAcentral is "bacterial SSU rRNA". It matches the Rfam family "Bacterial small subunit ribosomal RNA", at positions 777 to 1313 of the family's 1533-position model. The record is from RNAcentral.
AAUAGAUACCCAGGUAGUCCAUGCCGUAAACGAUGUCUACUAGCCGUUGGGGCCUUUGAGGCUUUAGUGGCGCAGCUAACGCGAUAAGUAGACCGCCUGGGGAGUACGGUCGCAAGACUAAAACUCAAAUGAAUUGACGGGGGCCCGCACAAGCGGUGGAGCAUGUGGUUUAAUUCGAUGCAACGCGAAGAACCUUACCUGGCCUUGACAUACUAGAAAACUUUCCAGAGAUGGAUUGGUGCCUUCGGGAAUCUAGAUACAGGCGCUGCAUGGCUGUCGUCAGCUCGUGUCGUGAGAUGUUGGGUUAAGUCCCGCUAACGAGCGCAACCCUUUUCCUAUUUGCCAGCGAGUAAUGUCGGGAACUUUAAGGAUACUGCCAGUGACAAACUGGAGAAGGCGGGACGAGUCAAGUCAGUCAUGGCCCUUACGGCCAGGGCUACACACGUGCUACGAAUGGUCGGUACAAAGGGUUGCUACCUAGCGAUAGGAUGCUAAUCUCAAAAAGCCGAUCGUAGUCCGGAUUGGAGUCUGCUAACG